GACGAACGCUGGCGGCGUGCCUAAUACAUGCAAGUAGAACGCUGAAGGAGGAGCUUGCUUCUCCGGAUGAGUUGCGAACGGGUGAGUAACGCGUAGGUAACCUGCCUGGUAGCGGGGGAUAACUAUUGGAAACGAUAGCUAAUACCGCAUAACAGUAGAUAUUGCAUGAUAUCUGCUUGAAAGGUGCAAUUGCAUCACUACCAGAUGGACCUGCGUUGUAUUAGCUAGUUGGUGAGGUAACGGCUCACCAAGGCGACGAUACAUAGCCGACCUGAGAGGGUGAUCGGCCACACUGGGACUGAGACACGGCCCAGACUCCUACGGGAGGCAGCAGUAGGGAAUCUUCGGCAAUGGACGGAAGUCUGACCGAGCAACGCCGCGUGAGUGCAGAAGGGUUUCGGAUCGUAAAGCUCUGUUGUAAGAGAAGAACGAGUGUGAGAGUGGAAAGUUCACAAUGUGACGGUAUCUGACCAGAAAGGGACGGCUAACUACGUG
This 495-nucleotide ribosomal RNA is filed under the name uncultured bacterium. RNAcentral describes it as "partial 16S ribosomal RNA". It matches the Rfam family "Bacterial small subunit ribosomal RNA", at positions 28 to 507 of the family's 1533-position model. The record is from RNAcentral.